RNAcentral lists this ribosomal RNA (486 nucleotides) under uncultured bacterium. RNAcentral's name for it is "bacterial SSU rRNA". It matches the Rfam family "Bacterial small subunit ribosomal RNA", at positions 15 to 518 of the family's 1533-position model. The record is from RNAcentral.
GAUUCUGGCUCAGGACGAACGCUGGCGGCGUGCUUAACACAUGCAAGUCGAGCGAUGAAGCUCCUUCGGGAGUGGAUUAGCGGCGGACGGGUGAGUAACACGUGGGUAACCUGCCUCAUAGAGGGGAAUAGCCUUUCGAAAGGAAGAUUAAUACCGCAUAAGAUUGUAGUACCGCAUGGUACAGCAAUUAAAGGAGUAAUCCGCUAUGAGAUGGACCCGCGUCGCAUUAGCUAGUUGGUGAGGUAACGGCUCACCAAGGCGACGAUGCGUAGCCGACCUGAGGGGGUGAUCGGCCACAUUGGGACUGAGACACGGCCCAGACUCCUACGGGAGGCAGCAGUGGGGAAUAUUGCACAAUGGGGGAAACCCUGAUGCAGCAACGCCGCGUGAGUGAUGACGGCCUUCGGGUUGUAAAACUCUGUCUUUGGGGACGAUAAUGACGGUACCCAAGGAGGAAGCCACGGCUAACUACGUGCCAGCAGCCGC